This 3396-nucleotide long non-coding RNA is filed under the name Betta splendens (Siamese fighting fish). Its description in RNAcentral is "lncRNA (ENSBSLG00000006592.1)". Lineage: Eukaryota; Metazoa; Chordata; Actinopteri; Anabantiformes; Osphronemidae. The record is from RNAcentral.
AUGCCAUCUUCCUGUCUCCCCCUCAGCUCCUCCUUCUCCUCCUCAGCGCAUCCCAGCAGAGGCUGGACUGAAACCCAGCAGCUUAAUUCAGCCACGACGACUCCUCUCUUUCCCUCCCCCAUGUUCCUCUCCCCUCAGCAGUCUCAUCCCAGUUUCCCUCUUGGAUACCAGCCAACCACAUCCCUCUGGCCAGUCCCAAGCCCCCACGGCACCCCCAUCCCCUCCCUCUGCUCCUCCAUGUCAACAUCCUCCAUUCCUUCUCUCACCUCCUCCACCUCCACGCCCUUUAUCCCUUCCCUCAUCCCCGAUGAGUGGUACAGACAUCAGAGAAAGAAGAAUGAAAGAGGAACGUCCUACAGGGAUUCCACCUCUCGAUCGAAGUCUUACAAGUCCAAGUCGUCUCGAUCCUACUCCAACUCUUCAAGCAGGUCCAGAUCCCGUUCGCGGUCCAGAUCGAAGAGCAGAUCCAGACACCAGUCGCCUUAUUCCCGUCACAGAAGCCUGCACACCCGCUCUCAUGCCUUCAGCUCCUAUAGUUAUGGUUACAAAUGCUCACGUUCCCCCACUCCAUCAUCAUCGUCUUCUCCCCGAGUGAGCCACUCUUCCAGGUCCAAGUCACCAUCAGAUCACCAAAGGAAGCGCCACCACAGCCGUCACCAGAACAAGAAGUCAUCUUCAAGCAGAUACGGCUCCAGAAGGAGAGGGGAACGGUCCGUGAGGGAAGCGGGGAGCUCAGAAGCCACUUUAGUCAGUCCUCUGUCUGCUCCGAGAGGGAGCCAGUCCUCCAGCCUGGAUCUGGAGAGAGAGCGCUACCUGCAGUGGAAGAAGGACUACAAAGAGUGGUGUGAGAAAUAUUUCAGCAGCUACGUCGGCCACUUCCACCAGCUGCCUCUUCCCCUGCUCAACCUCCCUCCUCCUCCUCCUCAGUGGGAGGACGCAACAAGACCUGAGAGCAGCUCACGUGCCAAGCCAGACUCUGACGGAAGAUGCCCCACUCCGCAGGACGGCCACUCCCCCUCACUGCGAUCGUCCAGCGCCAGCCGAUCUCCUCCAUCACACUCACUAAGCGACAGCCGCUCCACGGCCUCUCAGUCGUUCAGUGACAGCUCUUCUCCGUCUCACACUUCCAGCAACAGCCGCUCUCCUCCCUUACGCUCUUUCAGUGACAGUCUCUCCACACCAUCUGAAGACAGGGCUCAGAUGGGCCACUCACCAGCGCCCAAGGGCACUGAGGAAGUUAACCUGCAAUAUAUAAAUAAGGGAGACAAAAAGGUGAAUGUAAAAAAUCUGGAGGGUCUCGGCUCACUUAAACAUGACCGAAGGAGGACAAAGAGCCACAAGGACGGAAGAGAGGGCAAGAGUGUGAGCGUAACACGUGAUGAGUGGCUACGCGACACUGGACCAAAUGCCUGCAAGGACACAGGAUUUGCAGCACAAGAUAAAGAAACUAUCAGUGGUGUUGUGAGGUCAGUGCAGCCUUGCCCCAAAUCCAAUAAAUAUUUGGAUGCACACCAUGAAAGAGAAAGCAGAGACAGAAGAUGGAGAACAGGCAAACGUCCCGACUCCAGGCAAGAUGAGGACCGACGACGCAAAGGAAAGCACAGCAAAGAGAGAGCCCGGAGGGAGGCAGACCAGCACAGGAGCCGUGAGCGUGGCAGAAGUGCUGCAACCAAACCAGAGAAGAGUAGAAGAAGGAAAGGAGAGGAAGCGCAAAGAAAUAAAGCUCAUUGCAAGAGCGUGUCCCCAAACCCAGCGGAGAGAAACAAGCCAAACAAUGACAAGAAAGAUCCUCAAAAGCAAACUCUGAAAGAGAGUCAGAUCUGGGAGGACGGGAUGAAAGUGGCACCGCAGAAGAAGAAGAUCAACAUCAACAUCAACCUCAACCUGGACGGCAAAAGGAAGGAAUUUGAUUCACUGAGUGCUACAGAAAAACCAAAUGAGGGAAGUGAAAUGACUGGUAAUGGAGGCGAGGGGGAAGGUGACGCAGAUAAGGAAGACGUGGCUGAAACGAGCAAAACCUGGGAGAAAGGCACGUUCAGGGAGGUGAAGGUGUGGGAGGAGGAACAAAAAGGAGAGGGCUUUGACUUAUGGCACUGUGGCCUGAGAGGAGGAGUGGAGGAGGAGGAGGAAGGAGGGAGACACAGGUCCAAGGCUAGCAAAGAAGAGGAGGAGGUGACCAGAGAUGAGGAAAUGAGCAAGAUGUGGAACGAAGGUCACGAGAUCGCAGAUUUGAUCCAAAACACCCAGAAGGAGCAGGCAGACGGGGAAGACAUGUUCAACACAAACAGAGAAACGGCACUGGAUGAGUUAAACACACACACAAAGCAAGAAGCGACGCAGGGAGACGAUCCGAAGAUGUCCGAGGAGCAGAGGAGGCUUCAGAGGCCAGAAGCUGCAGUGGGCGAUGGCAGUAUCUGUGAGCAUCACCAGGAAAUGAGAAACUCUCUGGAGGAGAACCCCCGAGAGACAGACCCAGGAAGGGAGGAUGCGCCCGUGCACGUGAAGGUUCCUCUCUCCAGGUGGGAUAAAGCAUCCGACGAAGCGGAGCAAGACAAGUCAGAGGAGACUGCACAAGAUGCUGUUGCUGUGUCUGUGCCUCCACCAUCAGUGGCAGCAGCCAAGCAGGAGACUGAAGAGAAGAGAUGGAGGUCAGUGGACUCGGAGAGAGACAGGGACCGACAGAUGCCCAGAAGGCCGCACAGCGAUGCCAGUCAUGGUAUAAAUAGAGUGCUGGCGCCCUCUAGUGGCAGUUACAAAACUGACAGUACCAUGUGUACAGACGGAGAGAGGAAAAGAAGGAUGGAGAGGGACAGAGAGACAGGAAGGGAGGGUGAGAGAUCACGAGAGAGACGUAAAGAGAGCAGACGACCCAAAGACAGGAGGAGGGAGGAAGAGAGGGGGAGAGACCACAAGAGGGAUCCUCCUGCCUCUGGUUCCUCGUCCUCAGCAUCACGUGACGCGGAGAGGAGAGAGUGGCAGCGUGGAGGCGGCCAAGGCAGCGAGAGGAAAUACCUCCAUCCCAAAGACAGAAGUUCAGUCAGCACAGCCGUGGACGUGCCUGAUAGAAACGCCUCCAAAGCACAGAGCAACGCGGGUAAUUCUACCAAUAUGUGGGUGGGAGAGAGCGCGUGGCAGCAGAGGGGGGGGCUGCAGGAGGAGGAGGGGUCCAGCAGCCGCAGCAGCUACAGCUGUUCAUCAGCGAGCAUGGAGGACGAGAGCAGGAAGCCCCGAAAGGAGAGGAGGGCAGCUGUGGCAGAACAUCUGGAGGAGCAGGAGCUGCUUAGACACAGGAAGCCAAAGAAGAACGCAGAGGGAGAAGACAGGAGCGGAGCCGAGGUGGAAGGUGGAGGGGGCGACGGGGCGGACGCACCAGGCGUCCCUGGUUUCCAUGGAUGA